Molecule: RNA transcript, 2619 nt
Organism: Xiphias gladius (swordfish)
Lineage: Eukaryota; Metazoa; Chordata; Actinopteri; Istiophoriformes; Xiphiidae
Gene: crebzf
Gene name: CREB/ATF bZIP transcription factor
Exons: 5
Source: RefSeq, a predicted model, not a curated record
CUUGUUCGGAAGCGUCUGCGCAGGUCAAUGUUGGUCUCGGCUUGAGUCGUUAGACCGCGUUAUGUCCUUUUUUAAUUUCACGCUAUGAACGAUUGCGAAAGCGUUGUGUAGCCGGCAACGUUUCAUCGAGGGACUCAAUCCCUGUAGUUUAUUGAAUUUAUAUUCCAAAUAUCACGGUGAGGAAUAAGAUAUCUUGCGGUGCCAUUGUCAAGCCACGAUGAUCACCAGAAGAAGAGGCCGCACUAUCAACAACACGGAGUCUCUUGAGGUUGAAGUGAUGGAUGCAGUGGAAAUAGUAGAGGAUCUCCCAAGUCCUCCUGGUGGGUUCCCAGCUGACGAUAUUGACAUUGGUGGAAUAGAGAUAGAUGACCUGUUUAGAACUGAAGACUUAAAAUGGACACUUGAAAGAAACAUUGCCUCCCCAUUCUUUGAUAUGGAGUUUGCUGAUCUUGGUGUGCACUGUGCCAAGGAUCAAGAUUCUGGGAUUGAAGUUUCAACAGCCUCAUCUCCAGAGAGAAUGUCAUCUGACUUGAAGAUGAAGAACAGACAAAACCAGUCAAGCCAGAUGAUCAACAAAAAUGCUAUUGCUGCCAGAUUGAACCGUCUCAAGAAGAAAGAAUAUGUCAACAGCCUGGAGAAGAAAGUUGGCAUCCUGUCAACAGAAAACGGCAUCCUCAAACAAGAAAAUGCUCAGCUGACCAAGAGAGUUGAAGAAUUGGAAGAUGAGACCAGGUACCUGAGAGCUGUGCUGGCCAAUGAGAGCAUGUUAGCCCAGCUCUUGUCCAGGCUUAGCGGUGUGAAUGGGAUGAAAUUAUCUUCCUCACUUUUCCAGGGGCCUGACUCAAAUGACCACGACUAUGCCUUACCCAGGAAGCGUGUGAAAGUGGAGGAGAAAGAGACAUCUGGUGGCGUGUGUCUGCAUGUGGACAAGAAUCACGUCUCAGUGGAGUUUUGCACUAAGUGUGCAGAGAGUGCAAGCACAUCGCUUACAAUUUUCUUCUAGGUAAUGGUUGAUCCACCAUACGGGAUGAGUGGCUUUCUGAACACCUUUACCUGCUUGACUCCAUGUGGAUUCUGCUGGUGGAAGGCGAAGAAGCUGGACAAGCUGCUGCCAACGUGGCCUGCUAAUUUUUUUAAGCAAGCUCUCUGCUGAUAAAGGUCUUACUUUUCCUGAACAUUUGGGUCAAGUCUGGUAAAGGUUGUCAAAACAAAUGACCAAGACCUCAUUUGAUGGAAGUACAAAGCACACAAUAUGAGAUGGCCCACAGAGAUUAAUCAUGUUGCCCGUGUUUUAGCCCAUUUACUUCAAAUCAAUUAUUUUUCACCCAAUGUAUUAAACACACUUUUUUUUGUGUGUGUGUUCCAGCUGUGUUGCUAUGUCAGUAAUGAGAGAAAGCUCAGUUUCUAAAAAUUAGGCUUCAUUUCUACCUACUCUUCAGACUUUCAGUGAAAACAGGUCUUAUCAACAUGAUAUGGAUAUAAUCUGGUCAGUUUUAAAUAUUGCAUGGAGUAGUAGUACAAGCAGAAACGGCCACAGUAAGCAGUCAGAUGAAGGGCUGCAGGCGACUGGCUGUUAUGGCAGAUGGCUUUGCUUUGCUUUGGGGUGCAACAGGAAAAUUCACAGUCAGCAUAGCUUGACUGCUUGUGGCCAUUCACAGCAAAGCGUGGAAGGGUGGUUUAGUGUGACUAACCAUCCCACCAUGGAAAGAUUCCCCUCACAAAAACUAUGGAAGCAGUGCUGUUAGAUGGCUGUCUCAUGUCUCUUAGAUUCCGUGGGUUUUAGAGUCUCUGCAAGUUGAAUUUUAUACAGCACUCAAAUAAAAGAUGACUUGUUACUAGAAAAAUGUUUUUUAAACAGUUUUGGGGAAUUGACAGCCACACUGUAAUAGGUGUUUGACUUGAUGUACAUGGGCUAAAAUCUCUAAACAACGGUACAACUGGAAAAUGGAGACUCAUUCAGGUGUUAUUCCAUUGUGUUACUUAAAACCACUGAAUAUAAAGUAAACUGCUGAGUAGCUAUUGUGCUGACAUCAGUUCACAUGAAAACCUGCCUUCCACCUCACAAGUGCUGGGUCAGUAUUCAUCCUGUUCUGGAUGUUUAUUUUCAUGGAAAGUUUUAGUUUUGAUGUGUGCAGCAGAUAAGUCCAGAUUAUAAAUUUAGCUGCACUGGCAUUUACAUUGGUAUGACACCUCGGACGAGAACUAGCCUCUAGCAUACAAAUUGCAGCAACAAUUUUGAAAUAAAUGCUGAGUUUCAGUGUGCAUUUUAAGCUGUGGGAGUCGAGCGUUCUUGACCCAUUUUUAAUGGUUUAAAUACAAUACUGCAGAAUUUGAUGUCUGACAAAAUUGUACUACAGUGAUUUGCACAGUGCAAAUCUUGCUGUGAUGGGACUUUGAAGUUCACACUCCUGGGACCAUAUUUCAUGAAUGGUCCCAUGAGGGACGAAUGUGCCUUCUUGUCGGAACCAACAGAGGGGGCCCAGUGUCACAAGUAGCAGAAAAUUGAAAUGAUGGUUGUGUGAGGAAUGUGUCUCAACCCAGCACAUGAGACCCUGCUGCGUGUGGGGCUGCAGACCGCUCAGUGCCCAUUGCGGUCGUCAUACUCUGGCUCCGCGGUGU